GACGAACGCUGGCGGCGUGCUUAACACAUGCAAGUCGAACGGAAAGGCCCUGCUUUUGUGGGGUGCUCGAGUGGCGAACGGGUGAGUAACACGUGAGUAACCUGCCCUUGACUUUGGGAUAACUUCAUGAAACUGGGGCCAAUACCGGAUAGGAGCUCCUGCUGCAUGGUGGGGGGUGGAAAUUUUUGGCGGUUGGGGAUGGCCUCGCGGCUUAUCAGCUUGUUGGUGGGGUAGUGGCUUACCAAGGCUUUGACGGGUAGCCGGCCUGAGAGGGUGACCGGCCACAUUGGGACUGAGAAACGGCCCAGACUCCUACGGGAGGCAGCAGUGGGGAAUAUUGCACAAUGGGCGGAAGCCUGAUGCAGCAACGCCGCGUGCGGGAUGACGGCCUUCGGGUUGUAAACCGCUUUCGCCUGUGACGAAGCGUGAGUGACGGUAAUGGGUAAAGAAGCACCGGCUAACUACGUG
This 468-nucleotide ribosomal RNA is filed under the name uncultured bacterium. RNAcentral's name for it is "partial 16S ribosomal RNA". It matches the Rfam family "Bacterial small subunit ribosomal RNA", at positions 28 to 507 of the family's 1533-position model. The record is from RNAcentral.